Betta splendens (Siamese fighting fish) is the source of this 11726-nucleotide long non-coding RNA. RefSeq lists it as uncharacterized. The record is from RefSeq and is a predicted model, not a curated record. The transcript has 4 exons. Lineage: Eukaryota; Metazoa; Chordata; Actinopteri; Anabantiformes; Osphronemidae.
CUUUCUCUUCAGUUAAUUUGUGAACCGACUUGAAUGUAUUACUAAAAAUAUUGUGGAAUGAAAAAGUAUAUUGUAUUUGUUUACAUGUUUUUACUUUACUGUAGCCUCAUAUAACACUCACACAGCAGAAACAAGUGGAAACUAAACUGCAUGACACAUUGUCAAAGGUUUCCAAGAGCUAGUGUAUGAAUUCAACAAGAUUAUUUAAACAUAUUAAACACAUUUAUUGGUACAUAAAAAAAGUCCUAAUGGUUUCUUUGACUACAAUAAAUUGCAAUACAACAUCUAAUUAUGGCCUCUGAUUUAUAAUGCAAUGGGAAAAUAUGACCAUUUAAAGUUGUAUAUUUAGUUCACUUUUAUGAAUCUGCUCUGUUAGUGGGGUAAAACAGACCAACAAAACAGGAAAAUCUCAAUAACAAUAUAUUGAUGACCAUAACAUUGAUAUUCCAGGCUGAGCUUUUGAAGAAAAAAUAAACCUACAUGCAAAGAUAAACAAGUAAAAACUGAAUAAAAAAUUAAACAGUAGACAGUUCGGCUCAUGUACAGUAUCACUGUAGUAUUUCCAAGCUACACUCAGCUUUGCAUAACUUGCAGGUUACAGUCUUCUUUGUUGUUUAUUAUAAAAAGCUGUCAUUGAGACAUCAGAAGCAAACUCACUCCUGCUGCCGAUUGAUCUUUUAUCUCAGGCGGCUGCUUUAUGUUGACGUCACACUGACUGCACCAUAAUACCAGCAAAUAUAAACCUAACUAACUGGUAACAGAAACCCCUGUUAGCCCAAUAGUCUACACAAACUGUAAUGUUUGCUUAAUUUGUAAGGUAUGUUUAAAAAUAUAUUGUAUUAAAGUAGUGUUGAUGUACUUACAGUACAGUUUGAUGUUACCUCUUCAGUGCACAAACACUAAAUCCUUUGGUGCCAAAAUCAGCUCCAGAGAGCCAGAGAGACUCCACUCAAAAUUGGACUUUCACCCCAAAGAAGUUCAGCUAAAUAAAUUCAAAUGGACUAUGUCGUGGAGAACAGUUUUGGAAACUAGUUUGGACAUUUAUAUCAACUUACUGUACUGUACUGAGAUAUGCACUUUAUACAAAUGUGUACAUUACAAUAAAUUAUAUGAAUACAAUGUACAGUAACAACAUGUCUUCAAAGGGUCCUCGGAUGAAAAUGAGAUGUUAAUCAAGUAGAAAAAGUCAAGUAAUGAGCAGCGACUUAAAAGUUAAAAGUUAAAACUCAUCGCUCAAAAACAAAAGUAAAAUGAAUGCAGCACCCAGAAGCAAAAGAUAAGUAACACCAUACUACACAAUACAUACAUACCAGUAGUAUUUGAUGACACAAAUCCACAGAAUCUCCCUAAAAGAAGUUUUUCUUCAGAAAGUGUCAGUGUCAGAAAGAAAAAUAUUCUAUUCUGCAGAACGAAGGACAGGAACAGUUAAAAUACACCCUUUAGCUCCUUCUCCAACAGUUCCUGAGAAGCCAAGAGGUCGUGGCAAGAUACGUAUAAAAAACAUAACCCUAAAAAGAUGCUCAACGUUGACCACAAACAAGUUGGCAUGUCUUACAUAGUUUCUGCACUUAGCAACACACCACUUCCAAAUCCACAUCUGUUGUGAGUUAAAGAUUCCAUCAUUUUGAGUCAUACAGCCUCACAAAUAAAAAAUGUGUCUCACACCCACACUGGAGAAGUUAAAACUUUUUUUCUUGCCAUACAGCAUUGUCCUCCCUCUCUCUCUCUCUCUCUUCCUUAGCUAAAACCAAGAGUUGUUGUGUAUAUGAACACUGUAGGGUCUAGUUAAAAUACUACAACUUUGCAAUAAAUAAUUAGUUUAUUGCACACAACCACGGGUAAUAGAAGCUAUAAAACAACUUCAACAAACAUCGAGACCUACAGGGCAAGUGGCUCGGGCAGGGCUAUAGCCUGAGAAAAAAGGGAGACAACAGGUAAGCCACGCCAUACCCCCUACACCCACACAACUCAUGCAGUCCCCCUAAAUCCACAACAUGCAUCAGGUAAAAGCUUUUUGAUGCACUAACUAUGAUCUCAGUACACAGACCAGAGACACACAUUACCCACUGGCUCCUAUAUUCCCUUAUAAUUGUUUGUGGAUGUAGCUGGGCGUGACCAACCUUGUACCUAUGGCGGCCGGCAGGUGACAACAUCGGCUAAAAUCCGCCCCAAGCAUUUUAAAUUGGUGCCCCGACAAUUUACUAAAGCCAGGACCCCGUUAAUGCAGAAAGAAGCCCUCUAGGGACCCCUGCACCGACCCUACCCUUUGCAGUCUCUGGUAAGUGAUGGGGAUUAGAAUGUUUACCAGCAUUGUGUGUGUGUGUGUGUGGGGGGGGCAUUUUCCGCCCGGGUUAUGUGGAUCCGCUGCCUGGGUGGUCUCCUUUCUGCUGACCCCCACCAAUUGCUGGGCCCGAUGUGGUGCCAGGGGAUAUGGUCGGGCCGAUGGGGUAGGCCCCGCUCCGCUCGUGUAGGGGUGGUGACCUGGGGGUGGGCCCCACUCUGGGCACAGGAGCAUCGCCUGGUGGGCUCCCUACAGACCGUGGAUCCUCGGCCUGCAUUUUCUCAGGCUGGCCCUCCAACUGGGGAACUGUUUGCCCCUGGUUCUCAAGGGGCGGACAGCGUUGACCCAUACCAUACACCUGUGACCUAACAGGUACUCCCGAAACUUCUGGUCCAUUGUCCACUUCAUAGCUAAGAAUUAGAGUUUCAUAGAGCUGUAAUUUUGUUCUGCUGGAUGGAGACUUCAGCUUGCGUAGGUAAUGGGUCGAACUUUACCAUCCUGCUCUUAAGACAGGACUGCACCAAGGCCGCUAUGACUAGCAUCCACCUCCAAAAUAAAGGAAAGGCUAAAAUUAGUAUAAGCCAGGGGAGAAUACCAGCUAUGACUUGAGUUCUGUAAAGCUGGCCUCACUCUCUGCAGUCCACAUUUUCUCCAAUGGAGAACUCUGACGUUGAUGCUUUUUUAUUGGAGAGGUCAGCCACCAACCUAUGUAGUGGGGUGGCUAAUUUAGCAAACCCUUCAACAAAACAUAUAUAAUAGCUGUCAAAACCUGAAAAGGACCUCAGUUCAGAGACAGUACUUGGUGUGGGCCAUUCUGCUACUGCGGCCACCUUCUUAGGGUCUGUAGACAUGCCUGCAGCAGACACAACAUGACCCAGAUACUAGACUUCUGGUUGGAAAAAUGUACAUUUCUCCAGCUUUACCUUCAGUCCCUGUUAUUGUUAAGGUCCAGGACCAUUUCCAAGCUGCAGAGUUGCUCAUCUGAAGAAGAGAACACAAUGACAUCAUCCAGAUAUAACAGCAAGGAAUGAAACUUCGCCAAAUAUUCUUUCCAUAAGUCGCUGAAAGGUGCUGGGGGCAUUGCACAGACCGAAAGGCAUCCUCUGAAACUCUCAAAUAGGUCAAAAGGUGUACAGAACGCUGUAGCUAAGCUGUAGCUGAGCUAAAUACAUGGUAGAGAGCCACUGGGCUCUACAGGGCAUCCAAUGAUUCUUCAAUGCGUGGAAAGGGGAAAGCAUCCUUUCUCGUUUUGCCAUUAAGCAGUCUGUAAUCCACACAAAGCCUUAGACUACCGUCCUUUUUCCUUACCAGGUCAAUAGGGGAAGCAUAAGGACUGCAACUCUUCCUUAUGACUGCUUUCCCACAUCUGUCAAAUGUGAGCUCUCACAUCAUCGUAGUCCGAUUGUGUGUAUAUAUCUAUACCUUCGUUGAACUGGGACAUCAUCAAGUAAAGGAAUGUCAUAAGUCACUAAAGUGAUACAACCCAGAGCCAGAGGCUGAUCAGUAUUAGGUGCUCCACAGAACGCCACCAGAGAUCCUUCGUACCGGUGCCAUCAGCCUGUACAACUCCUCUCUAAGGAUCGACCUGUAUCUGUGUAGCAGAGUACAAACAUAUGUGUGUGUGUGUGUGUGUGUGUGUGUGUGUGUGUGUGUGUGUGUGUGUGUGUGUAGUCUAUAGCAGUCUAUAGGAAUUGUAUGCAAAUACAGUGCAUACAUACUUGAUUUGUGUGUGUACAGUACGGUAUGUGUGGGUACAUGUGUAUACAUGUAUAUGUAUGUGCUCAUAAAUAUAUUACAUUUAUGUCCUGACAAUACUUUCUGCCAUCUUCCUUUCUGCAAUACAUGAAAUUGAUUGUGUCAAAGUGUGCAAAGCAAUUUUCCUAUGGGAUUAAUAAAGAUUUUUGAAUCUUGAAUUGCAAUGAAAUUCUGCCAAAGUCCCAAAAGUAUGGCCAGGAUUUUAGGCAGCUAGUUGUAGAAGAUGAAUCAUCCAGGAGCCACCACUGACAGACUGUUUUAUCAUUCCUAGUUUAAUGAAUUGUUUAGUUUUAUUAUUUUUCUAUUAUUGUUGUUGGUUAAAGAUUUUGUGUGAUCAUAAUGGUACAGUAUGUGGUUGUCCCCUUACACAUUAAUUUGUGUUUGACAGUGCCUCAGUCUUCUGUGCAAGCUGUUCUGAUGCUACAAAGAGGAACCUCUGUGGGUGCAGAAGGGAAACGCAUACUCUUGUGGGAAAACACACUGAAGACUCCAAUGGAUGAUGACGUAGAAGAAUGAAUACAUUCUACUUUGUUCCUGAAACAUUAAGAUGAAACAUAUUGGUGUUGUAGUAAUGUGACACUGUCCAUGCUGGAUCACCUUAUUCAUUAUUAGUUAUUAAAUUCUUUAUUUAUUCCUCAUUAAUGGUGUCAGUCAGAUUUAAGCUUAACUUUACACUGAGGGUAAUGAGUUUUGCUUUGAUUGCUUUGGGACACCGCUGCGCUCAACUGUACACACUUUAAUGCUCCAUGAAUAUUGCUACCACUUUGUCUUUACACAUGGACAAACAUGAACUAGGUUGCUCUCAUUAUGAGCAGGUGUGAAGGCUGCUAAGACCCACAAACAAGACAAGAGGGAGGCCCAAAUGCACGACCCAUAGACAUACUCAGAGAUACAAAUAGGAAACACAAAGAGGAUUAAAGAGAAUUUAACUUUACAUUUAAAAACACAGAUGUUAUUUUUACACUAUAAUGGAAACAAAACUAACACACAUAGGUAAAUAAACUAAAAAUCACUGCAUAGUGCAAGCAAAACUAAAGUAACAAAAAGCUAAAGACUUGAAAUACAAGACUAAACAGGUGAACCAAACCAAACUAAUUACAGCAAAUGACAAGAAAACAAACCAAGAGGACACUAAACAAACCCCCCUGGUGGUGUGGAAGCUGAGUCACAACAUAUUUUCUAUAGAAUUAAAGAAGAAAGCACUGCAAUAUCUUCAGGAGACAUUUGAAUUAAAUCACUUUGUAUUCACAUUGUAAUUGUUGUUUAAAUACUCACUGGUUUUAUGACAAAAUGAAAACAAAGGUUUUUUUUUCCACAUCAACUUUUUUGAACCAACAGAGGCAACAGAAGCCAAAAAUCCCACCGGUUCCAAACACUGUAGGGUUUAUCUGACUUUUCUUUACUUUGUGCUAUUGCAAGCUUUUACCCAAAUGCCAUCUGAGGUCCUGAUAAACCCAGCAGUCAAAGGGAAGUGGCAAGACACUGGUGUUACAUUCAAAAAUAUAAUUUAUUUAAUAUUUGACUAUACUAGUUAAAAUACUACAACUUUGCAAAAAAUAAUUAGUUUAUUGCACACAACCACGGGUAAUAGAAGCUAAAAAACAACUUCAACAAACAUCGAGACCUACAGGGCAAGUGGCUCGGGCAGGGCUAUAGCCUGAGAAAAAAGGGAGACAACAGGUAAGCCACGCCAUACCCCCUACACCCACACAACUCAUGCAGUCCCCCUAAAUCCACAACAUGCAUCAGGUAAAAGCUUUUUGAUGCACUAACUAUGAUCUCGGUACACAGACCAGAGACACACAUUACCCACUGGCUCCUAUAUUCCCUUAUAAUUGUUUGUGGAUGUAGCUGGGCGUGACCAACCUUGUACCUAUGGCGGCCGGCAGGUGACAACAUCAGCUAAAAUCCGCCCCAAGCAUUUUAAAUUGGUGCCCCGACAAUUUACUAAAGCCAGGACCCUGUUAAUGCAGAAAGAAGCCCUCUAGGGACCCCUGCGCCGGCCCUACUCUUUGCAGUCUCUGGUAAGUGAUGGGGAUUAGAAUGUUUACCAGCAUUGUGUGUGUGUGCAAACAUUUUAGCUGCUUCUCUAUUUGUCUCUUAUGUAACAAUAGAGAUGCCCUCAGGCAGACUAACAAUUUGAGCCUGACGUAAAACACCAAUAAGACACAGAGGAUGCAGAUGGAUAGCUGUUGUUCCUAUGUUAACCAGAGGCACAUAAACUGUGCCCCUCUCUGCUGGAACCAUCGAUGGAGAGAUAAAAACAGAUUCAGGAGCAGAGCGAUCCUAAACAAGAGGCUCUAUCAAUACACUGUCUGUGCCACUAAACUGUUGGGAGCAUGUGACCAAGACCCACUUAACCAUACCAGCCGCUACUGUAUAUACUGUACAGUACGUAGGACGAAUUCCCCUAACUCUGGCCAACCCAGUCUUGGGGGAUUUCAUCUGCCCCUUAAUAUAAUAGCCUGCUGCACUACAGGGAGAUUGAAAGGUGCCUUGCCAUACUGAGUAAACAGCUGCAGGUAAAAUUCCCUUACUGUAUAAAGUUCAUGCCCAACACCCCUGGCAAAUCUGAAGGAGGUCCUUGACCUGGGGGAUCUUUUACAAUCACAACUUCAUUCUGUGGCACCACUUUCCCUCACACCUCCACGACCAACUUCACAUAGUCCACAUAGGGAUCUCUAGCCUACAGUAUUUGCGGCCUGCAACUGCAGCCAGCAGCAUGAACUAGGGGUGCUUUGGAAGUAAUGCUUAAAGAAACUCUAAGUGACAGUCACCAUGGACCCUGUGUCCAAAAGACAAUUAACAGGUACAGUACCCCACCCAACUAAAGUGUUACAUAGGGACCGGGACCUGGGGGCCUGAACCCAGUACAGAUGGGCCUACAGUAUGUCCUCCAGAUGCUUGGCUCCCUACAUCCGAGGGGUCUCAUUUCCUGCGUCCUGUGUUAAACUGCUCGUAGCAACUCGUCAUGUAGAGGGAGCAGUCUGAGUCUGUAAUCUCUGCACUACACAGUCCUUUGCAUAAUGACCUGGCUUUACACAGCACCUGUAUAUGGUACUGUAGUCUCCAGGCGUUUAAACCUAGCAGGAGGGUUAGACGUGGCUUAGGGGGCUAGUACGCUCUGGGUCAACUGGUUAAGAUGUUCUUGCUGCCACUUCAACAUCACCUUUAACUUUAACCCAUUUCUUUUCUGUGGUGAAAUUCCUUCUGCAAAUUGUACAACACUGUACGAGGGAACAGAGUUACUCCUACCUCUACAGGUACAGUAGGCUCAUCAACUUGCCCCUCCCUCUCCAGCAAAUGGCUUCCGCACACACAUCUACUGUAGCAGCGUGUAGUCUGGGUGUUGCUGCACCAACUGCUUGAGUUGACUAGUACAUGUACGCCCCUUGAUCUGCAGAACCUUUAGUCUGUUAAUACAAAGUUUGCACCAUUUAAACUCAAUAAUUACUGCUAAGAGUGUGAUUGUCCUUCAUCAAGUGAUUGUAUACACUACCACAUUGCCAGUAUGUGAAUGGCUGUAGAGUUAUUGUUAUAUCAUAACAGCUAAUAGAUUAAUCCUUCAAGUAUGUGAAAGACAUUAAAUUAUAUCUAAAUACAAACCAAAAACAGAUAAUUUCUCAUUGUCAUUUUCAUUUAUUUCUGUGCCUAAGGACAAUGUGUCUGUAACAUUUUAACCUGUUGCUCUAAUACACAACAUUUUACAUUUAUUUACUAAUUGUAUAUUUUGUUUAAGGGCUUUGAUAUUUAUUUUUCCUGUGUAUUUAAUUAAUUUCCUUUCUUACUUCAUUCUAGCCUCACUAACAGUAAUAUAAGAUGCACAACAGACACAAGUGGAAACUAUACAAACAUCAUGAUGAAAUAGACAAUUUAAAGUUACAUAAUUACUGUUAAUUAAAUAAAUGUAGUGUUAGACUUUUAGACAAUUAAUCUACUUUGCUAGUGUGGUAAAAUCAUUAUCAUAUGAAGACCUACAGAUACUUGAAAAGUAUAAAACUUUUAAUAUAUGGGUCAGCUGCUGGGUUCAGUCAUUGCAAGGCUGCUUUCGUCCUGCUAAUAAACCCAACACCACUACAGCACAUCUAUUGAAACAUUAAAAGACUGUUAAACCGACGUGUUGGUUUAACAGUUGGUUAAUUCAGGGAUAGUUUUGACCUGAACACUUUCCAUGUUCUUCCCAUAUCUUAGUGGGAUUUAUACUGUAUAUAGUAGGUACUCUGACAAUAGUUGAAUGAGAGGAAGUAGAAAGUUAACAUUACUUAAAUCAUAAUCGGUGAGAAACGUGAAUUAUCUAUAAAUGACAUAUAUAUGAGGUAACUGCCCUUACACUAACCUCGUAGAACAGAGACAAUAUUUUACAGAAGAUACAAUUUGAAAAAAAAAAAAAAAACGGAUUUCUCCAGUGUCUCUUUGAUAUUCUCCUAUUUCAGAAUAAUCAUCAUUAUAAACAACAAAAUGUAUAUAAUUAUAUCAGUUUUCAUAGAGCUGCUCAGAGUAACAUGUUAUUCAGUGUGUCCUGUCCAUUGAAAUCCACUGAACAUAACUUGUUUAUUUACUGUUGUCAUUUGGAGUAGUUAUGACUUUGGUAAUGAUUGUUUACUUUUAAUUUGAAAUAGUUUGAAGCUGCUGACAAGAAGACACCACCUGCUGAAAGGAAACCAACACUUCUUUCUACAGGAUCUAGUUCUUGUCUAGAGACAAGUGAACGCAACAUGAAUGGAAUUCAAAAUGCUGAAGACAGAUAAAGGUACAAAGAUCUGCAGCUGCAAGUGCUGAUUUGUCCAGAUCCACGGAUAAGUCGCUGGAGUUAAGUUCAUCCACAUCUGAAAUCAGAUGAUCAGCUUCAUCAAAAGUGAAACCAACAGAACCCAGAGAUGAGAAGUGAAGUGAGACGUUUACCUGCUUAUGAUGUGAGAGGAGUCUCCCUCCUCAGAGGUCCAGAUUCGGGCCACAGCUCUUCAACCAAAGCUUCUGCUUUUUCAAACGUCUCAAAGUCAGCAUUUUGCAUCGCGAUAUUCCCUCCCUUCUCACAGAAUGAAAGGUUCUCUCUCAGCUGAUCAAAAUGCAGCACCUGAAACAGAAAAAAAGCCAGUGAUGAUUCUGACUCUGAAAACUUACACUCUACAAUUUGAUAUUGACUGUAUUUAUUGGCUUCAUGUUGUUUUCUAUAAGAAGCAAAUGCAUUGCUCAGCAGUGAUUGUACCUGUUCUCCUUUAAUGUGCAGAGCGAUGGUAACAUGAUCCCAAACAUAAUAAUAGUCAUCAAUUUCUUCAGCCUCCAUGAUCUUAUCAUCAGGUCUCAGGAUCAAAUUAUAUCUAAAAAGAAAGGACAAAAUCUACCAAUGAAAUGCAGAAGGGCAUGACUAUGAAUCCUCACCUACACAUAAGAGGAUACAUCAGAUUGGGAUUGAAUAAGUUCCAUGACAGGUUUUAGCUUAUGAACAUGUUUCCUGUAUGGGUCAAAUGCAAUGUUUUUAAAUAUGGGAGUAACAAGGGAAUUUGAUAUUUACAUCUUCAUGAAUAAUACAUCAAUCAAAGCUCCAUCCACUGAAUCUGUCUCUCUGGUUCUUACCUGUGUGUCUGACUCAUGGCCUCCGGCCUCCAGAUGAAGCGUCCAUCUCUGUAGACACACACAGCGUUGGGAUCGUCAGCCAGUAGGGGGAACUCUUUGAACUGCUCCUUGUCAUCCGGGCUGUGGACCAGCACCACGUACAUCACUUCCAUCCUGUACAGCACCGUCUUCAAUACUCGCAUGACCGGCUGAGCACCGGAGCAGAACUGGACAGUGACAGAAGGAUUCAGUGGCAGAGUUGGACCUGAUGGCUCCAAAUGUUCAUAUUUACAUGGGUGAGAUAAUGAUAUAACUUGUAUUAAACGCAAAACCUUCUGUUGCAGUGUAGAUGUUUGUCAAAAUGUUCUCAUUUAACUUAAUCAAUGAGGACAUUCUGUCUGACAACUGGUCUGAUCUGGUCUAAUCUGACAUCAGCUGCUUUACAUUACAAUACAUACAGUACAAGUUAUUAAGCACAUAUCUUUGCUGAUCUGCAUCUGAACGGUCUUUGUAUGAAAGCUAUUUGCAUUGCAUAUUCUGCAUUUGACUGACACCUUUGACCAGUAACAACACUUUUAGUACCUGAUCGCUGUAGGCCUUCAGAACUGCAUGCAGUGGGAAGGUGAAGCGGAAUGAGCCCCACAUGGACCUUUCAGAGAAGGACGGGGAGGUGGUAAACUUCCCCAGGAAGGGCUGCUGCCUCUGGACCUGGGCCUCAGUGCGGUCUGGAAAGGUUUUUUCCAGGAACCUUGUCUCUGCUGCUUUUAAAUCUUCAUCAUUCACAGCCAGACUCCACCACACAAAUUCAGCGUAAUCAGGGAACAUGUUUCUGAAGCCUCCAUCCCUCGCAAUUCCUUCUAAUCCAGCUCCAUCCGUGUCAUGUUUCAGAUGUGAUAUAUGAAACUCCACUCGAGGGAACGCCGGAACGUUUUCUUUUGAGAGGUACCCAUAUAUAUGUAGAUUUCUGGCUGUUUCUCUCAGAUCCUCUAGCUUUGGAUGUCGACAUUUGAUACAAUCCUCAUUUUUUCCUCUUCUGUUUGUCCGGAACUCCAUGGUCAGAUGACACUAAAAGGUCUUUACUGUUGGAAGUAUCCACUGUCUGUGCUUUAGGAAGUGAUCACAGGGCAGUUGAGGCAGGCAGUAAAAACUAUACUCCACCCAUCUCCUCCAAACCACAGGCAUAGCAUUGUUCUGAGUAAUCUGCUGCAGCUGAUUUUAGCCUCUGCUUGUGGCAAUAAUAAAGCCAGCUGACUGAAGAUUGAGAAAAUGAGCAUAACUUCAUCUGUUUUAGGAACUUGAGUAUAGUUUAUUGCCCAAAAGCUGUGAGCAUUACAUUGAGUCACGAGUGUAGCUUUACAGCUAACAUCCAACCAGGUGUUCAGAGACAAAGCGCAGGUGAGGUUUGUUAUCACAUAUGUGCCAGGUCCAAGGUUCAAGUCAUCACAGUCAUAUCUGGAAUCUUUGUGUAGCUUUCUGUACCUGACACGAUACAAUACUGUACGUAACUAAAACCGUCUCCCUCAUCUAAUCAAGUACAGGGAGCUGUACAUUUUCAAGUUUUAAGUUGUGUGUAGUUGCUGUAUGUUGUUUUAAAGUUUACAUUCUGCUUUAAUUUUUAUAAUGUUAUAUUAUAUAUAUUUUUAUAUGUUUGCUCCUCAUUAGAAUAAGAAGAUAAAACCCUCAAGGUUAAGUUGUCCUGGAUGUUUGUUUCCUGUUUGUUUCACUUAAUCAAAUUGUAGAUAUAUUUUAAUCAUGGUGCCAGCAUGUAAACACCAGUUGCAUUUACAUCCACCAUUAAACUGUAUGCAGUUCUGAAGGAUAAAACCAAGGAGAUGACGAACCACAGUCCUGCAACUAUCAUGUUAUCCUUUCUUUGAGAGUAACGAAGCUUGUUAAUGGUAAGCUGAGCCGGCCAAACUGAGUCAGCAUAUGAAUCCUUUACACCGUAACAAUUCCAGGUCAUCUGCACCCAAAUGACCUUCUUUAAGUAGAUUCUGGGAUCUUAUACCAUCCAUUGCAUCUUUAAUAUCAUGCUGUCUUUUAGUUUAUUUUAGGUAACAACUCUGUGCUAAGAUCUUUAAGAAGGUUUGUCAAAAGAUAUUUCAGGCAUGCAAAUAAAAAGAAGCUUUCAUUUUCA